Molecule: ribosomal RNA, 253 nt
Filed under: uncultured bacterium
Lineage: Bacteria
Description: partial 16S ribosomal RNA
Rfam family: Bacterial small subunit ribosomal RNA
Source: RNAcentral
UACGAAGGGAGCUAGCGUUGUUCGGAAUUACUGGGCGUAAAGCGCACGUAGGCGGGCUGAUAAGUCAGGGGUGAAAUCCCGAGGCUCAACCUCGGAACUGCCUUUGAUACUGUUAGUCUUGAGAUCGGGAGAGGUGAGUGGAAUUCCUAGUGUAGAGGUGAAAUUCGUAGAUAUUAGGAAGAACACCAGUGGCGAAGGCGGCUCACUGGCCCGAUACUGACGCUGAGGUGCGAAAGCGUGGGGAGCAAACAGG